GUGAGGAAUAUUGCGCAAUGGAGGCAACUCUGACGCAGCCAUGCCGCGUGCAGGAAGAAGGCGCUACGCGUUGUAAACUGCUUUUAACCGGGAAGAAACCCCAGGACGUGUCCUGGGUUGACGGUACCGGAGGAAUAAGCACCGGCUAACUUCGUGCCAGCAGCCGCGGUAAUACGAAGGGUGCAAGCGUUAUCCGGAUUCAUUGGGUUUAAAGGGUGCGUAGGCGGAGCGUUAAGUCAGUGGUGAAAUCCUGCAGCUUAACUGUAGACUUGCCAUUGAUACUGGCGCUCUUGAGUGCGCUUGAAGUGGGCGGAAUGUGCCGUGUAGCGGUGAAAUGCUUAGAUAUUGCACAGAACACCAAUUGCGAAGGCAGCUCACUAAGGCGAUACUGACGCUGAGGCACGAAAGCGUGGGGAUCGAACAGGAUUAGAUACCCUAGUAGUCC
Molecule: ribosomal RNA, 445 nt
Filed under: uncultured bacterium
Lineage: Bacteria
Description: partial 16S ribosomal RNA
Rfam family: Bacterial small subunit ribosomal RNA
Source: RNAcentral